UACGUAGGGUGCGAGCGUUAAUCGGAAUUACUGGGCGUAAAGCGCGCGUAGGCGGCUUUGUAAGUUAGAGGUGAAAGCCCGGGGCUCAACUCCGGAAUUGCCUUUAAGACUGCAUCGCUAGAAUUGUGGAGAGGUAAGUGGAAUUCCGAGUGUAGAGGUGAAAUUCGUAGAUAUUCGGAAGAACACCAGUGGCGAAGGCGACUUACUGGACACAUAUUGACGCUGAGGUGCGAAAGCGUGGGGAGCAAACAGG
This 253-nucleotide ribosomal RNA is filed under the name uncultured bacterium. RNAcentral's name for it is "partial 16S ribosomal RNA". It matches the Rfam family "Bacterial small subunit ribosomal RNA", at positions 524 to 776 of the family's 1533-position model. The record is from RNAcentral.